RNAcentral lists this ribosomal RNA (426 nucleotides) under uncultured bacterium. RNAcentral describes it as "bacterial SSU rRNA". It matches the Rfam family "Bacterial small subunit ribosomal RNA", at positions 354 to 796 of the family's 1533-position model. The record is from RNAcentral.
GUAGGGAAUCUUGCGCAAUGGGCGAAAGCCUGACGCAGCAACGCCGCGUGCGGGAUGAAGGCCUUCGGGUUGUAAACCGCUUUCAGCAGGGACGAAAAUGACGGUACCUGCAGAAGAAGCCCCGGCCAACUACGUGCCAGCAGCCGCGGUAACACGUAGGGGGCAAGCGUUGUCCGGAUUUAUUGGGCGUAAAGAGCUCGUAGGCGGUUCAGUAAGUCGGGUGUGAAAACUCCGGGCUCAACCCGGAGACGCCACUCGAUACUGCUGUGACUUGAGUCCGGUAGGGGAGCGUGGAAUUCCUGGUGUAGCGGUGAAAUGCGCAGAUAUCAGGAGGAACACCAGCGGCGAAGGCGGCGCUCUGGGCCGGUACUGACGCUGAGGAGCGAAAGCGUGGGUAGCAAACAGGAUUAGAUACCCCGGUAGUCC